UGCCCAGCAACUCCUAUCCCUACCUCCUCGUGGUACUGGCCGGGUACGAGUAACCUUGGGGAAGAUCGGGUAAUAAACCCCCGGUGGGAUCUUUGGUCGUAUGCUGACAGGGAAGG
This 116-nucleotide ribozyme is filed under the name Aedes aegypti (yellow fever mosquito). Its description in RNAcentral is "drz-agam-1 ribozyme". It matches the Rfam family "drz-agam-1 ribozyme". Lineage: Eukaryota; Metazoa; Arthropoda; Insecta; Diptera; Culicidae. The record is from Rfam by way of RNAcentral.